UUCGUGUGAACAGUGGUUGAUCACGAGUUAGUCGGUCCUAAGUUCAAGGCGAAAGCCGAAAAUUUUCGAGUAAAAAAAAAUCAACAAAAUUUCACGAUUUAUAGAUUUUUAUGCACUUGAAUAAUUUUGAACGAAAGGGAAUACGGUUCCAAUUCCGUAACCUGUUGAGUAUCCGUUUGUUAUUAAAUAUGGGCCUCGUGCUCAUCCUGGCAACAGGAACGACCAUAAAGAAGCCGUCGAGAGAUAUCGGAAGAGUUUUCUUUUCUGUUUUAUAGCCGUACUACCAUGGAAGUCUUUCGCAGAGAGAUAUGGUAGAUGGGCUAGAAGAGCAUGACAUAUACUGUUGUGUCGAUAUUUUCUCCUCGGACCUUGAAAAUUUAUGGUGGGGAUACGCAAACUUCUCAACAGGCCGUACCAAUAUCCGCAGCUGGUCUCCAAGGUGAAGAGUCUCUAGUCGAUAGAAUA
Molecule: ribosomal RNA, 465 nt
Filed under: Mycodrosophila gratiosa
Lineage: Eukaryota; Metazoa; Arthropoda; Insecta; Diptera; Drosophilidae
Description: partial 28S ribosomal RNA
Rfam family: Eukaryotic large subunit ribosomal RNA
Source: RNAcentral